AUUGAACGCUGGCGGCAGGCUUAACACAUGCAAGUCGAGCGGGGUGAUGGUGCUUGCACUAUCACUUAGCGGCGGACGGGUGAGUAAUGCUUAGGAAUCUGCCUAUUAGUGGGGGACAACAUCUCGAAAGGGAUGCUAAUACCGCAUACGUCCUACGGGAGAAAGCAGGGGAUCACUUGUGACCUUGCGCUAAUAGAUGAGCCUAAGUCGGAUUAGCUAGUUGGUGGGGUAAAGGACUACCAAGGCGACGAUCUAUAGCGGGUCUGAGAGGAUGAUCCGGCACACUGGGACUAGAACACGGCCCAGACUCCUACGGAAGGCAGCAGUGGGGAAUAUUGGACACUGGGGGGAACCCUGAUCCAGCCAUGCCGCGUGUGUGAAGAAGGCCUUAUGGUUGUAAAGCACUUUAAGCGAGGAGGAGGCUCUUUUGGUUAAUACCCAAGAUGAGUGGACGUUACUCGCAGAAUAAGCACCGGCUAACUCUGUGCCAGCCGCCGCCGUAA
This 503-nucleotide ribosomal RNA is filed under the name uncultured bacterium. RNAcentral's name for it is "partial 16S ribosomal RNA". It matches the Rfam family "Bacterial small subunit ribosomal RNA", at positions 30 to 523 of the family's 1533-position model. The record is from RNAcentral.